AACGAACGCUGGCGGCAUGCCUAACACAUGCAAGUCGAACGAGAUCUUCGGGUCUAGUGGCGCACGGGUGCGUAACGCGUGGGAAUCUGCCCUUUGGUUCGGAAUAACAGUUGGAAACGACUGCUAAUACCGGAUGACGACGAAAGUCCAAAGAUUUAUCGCCAGAGGAUGAGCCCGCGUAGGAUUAGCUAGUUGGUGUGGUAAAGGCGCACCAAGGCGACGAUCCUUAGCUGGUCUGAGAGGAUGAUCAGCCACACUGGGACUGAGACACGGCCAAGACUCCUACGGGAGGCAGCAGUGGGGAAUAUUGGACAAUGGGCGAAAGCCUGAUCCAGCAAUGCCGCGUGAGUGAUGAAGGCCUUAGGGUUGUAAAGCUCUUUUACCCGGGAUGAUAAUGACAGUACCGGGAGAAUAAGCUCCGGCUAACUCCGUGCCAGCCGCCGCGGUAA
RNAcentral lists this ribosomal RNA (449 nucleotides) under uncultured bacterium. RNAcentral describes it as "partial 16S ribosomal RNA". It matches the Rfam family "Bacterial small subunit ribosomal RNA", at positions 29 to 523 of the family's 1533-position model. The record is from RNAcentral.